RNAcentral lists this long non-coding RNA (292 nucleotides) under Elaeis guineensis (African oil palm). RNAcentral describes it as "long non-coding RNA (EGUI_LNC005614)". Lineage: Eukaryota; Viridiplantae; Streptophyta; Magnoliopsida; Arecales; Arecaceae. The record is from RNAcentral.
AGAUAUCUCCAAAGAUCUGAUUCUUUAAGAGCCCCACCAGAGAAAAGAGACAAGUAGAUGUAUUAUCGCUUCCAUAGAGAUCAUAGUCAUGACAUCGAGGAAUACAGAUAGCUACGAGAUAAGAUAGAAACCCUGAUAUAUCGGGAUUAUCUUGAUAAAUAUGUCAGACCGAUCAAAUUCAGAGAAUAUAGGCCUCCAGCAGAAGAAACUUCUAACGAUCACAACCGACCAACUGCUGGUGUUAUCAAUAUGAUAUCCAACAUUCUGCUGGCACUGAUGACCUAUCCCCCAA